RNAcentral lists this non-coding RNA (98 nucleotides) under Macaca nemestrina (pig-tailed macaque). The record is from RNAcentral. Lineage: Eukaryota; Metazoa; Chordata; Mammalia; Primates; Cercopithecidae.
GGCUAGUUUAAGUGCAGCAGUAUUUGCAACGAGUCGAUCACAACCAGUUACAGAUUUUUUUUUCCUUUCUCCCCUUCCACUGCUUCACUUAGCCUUUA